UACAGAGGGUGCGAACGUUGUUCGGAAUCACUGGGCAUAAAGCGCACGUAGGCGGCACCGCAAGUGUGGAGUGAAAUCCCACGGCUUACCCGUGGAACUGCUUGGCAGACUGCGGUGCUAGAGGUUGGUAGGGGAGAGCGGAACUCUUGGUGGAGCGGUGAAAUGCGUAGAUAUCAAGAGGAACACCGGUGGCGAAGGCGGCUCUCUGGUCCAAUCCUGACGCUGAGGUGCGAAAGCUAGGGGAGCAAACGGG
RNAcentral lists this ribosomal RNA (253 nucleotides) under uncultured bacterium. RNAcentral's name for it is "partial 16S ribosomal RNA". It matches the Rfam family "Bacterial small subunit ribosomal RNA", at positions 524 to 776 of the family's 1533-position model. The record is from RNAcentral.